AGUAAAAGAGAAACUCGAAAAUAAAAGCUAUAAAUAUGACUACGGAGUCUUCAAGCAUCCCCUUCGCCGUCUUCCUGCGGAACGGGCUCGGGAACAAUGUCUUCCUGAUACGAAAUGAUUAAAUAAGGAAUGAGCUACACCAGCCCAGUAAAGACAUCACACUAUCUCACCGUUACGGAGGUAAAGGUGGGUAGAAAACACAAAAGAACCAAUGGAGCAUAGUUUACAACAAAACUCGUUUAUUAACAUAAAAACCUUUACUAUCCACUUAUCUCGGUGAAAUUCACAAAACAAUAUACGAAAGCAAUAACAUUAUCAUCAUCACGAAAUCAUAGAAACUGUAUAACAUAAUACUUAUCACGCGUUUUGCAUCUCAAUCAUUACACAACAUAUUUUUCCUUAUUUACUAGCCUAUUAGUAUCCAUGGGGAUCCAUAGGGGUCCCGCUACCCGUGAACCCUUAACACUUGUAAUUAGAUUCCAGGGCUGUCCCCAUACCCCAUCCGGUAUGGGCGCCAAAACUAUAAACCUCAAUACCCCAUCCGGUAUGAGGGUGAAACGGGCCGUCCCCAUACCUCGUCCGGUAUGGGUGCCAAAACACAUAAGAUCUCCAUACCUCGUCCGGUAUGAGAGACCACGAUCCCGGUAGGGUUCCCUACGGACCCGGUCCGUCCACCAUCUCCUAGGAUAUCUAGUCAGGCUGACCACAUUAUACAAUUAUCAAUUCAUA
RNAcentral lists this long non-coding RNA (729 nucleotides) under Carica papaya (papaya). RNAcentral's name for it is "long non-coding RNA (CPAP_LNC016585)". The record is from RNAcentral. Lineage: Eukaryota; Viridiplantae; Streptophyta; Magnoliopsida; Brassicales; Caricaceae.